Molecule: ribosomal RNA, 265 nt
Filed under: Morganella morganii
Lineage: Bacteria; Pseudomonadati; Pseudomonadota; Gammaproteobacteria; Enterobacterales; Morganellaceae
Description: partial 16S ribosomal RNA
Rfam family: Bacterial small subunit ribosomal RNA
Source: RNAcentral
UUAAUUGAAGAGUUUGAUCAUGGCUCAGAUUGAACGCUGGCGGCAGGCCUAACACAUGCAAGUCGGGCGGUAACAGGGAGAAGCUUGCUUCUCUGCUGACGAGCGGCGGACGGGUGAGUAAUGUAUGGGGAUCUGCCUGAUGGCGGGGGAUAACUACUGGAAACGGUAGCUAAUACCGCAUAAUGUCUUCGGACCAAAGCGGGGGACCUCCGGGCCUCGCGCCAUCAGAUGAACCCAUAUGGGAUUAGCUAGUAGGUGAGGUAAC